Molecule: ribosomal RNA, 439 nt
Filed under: uncultured bacterium
Lineage: Bacteria
Description: bacterial SSU rRNA
Rfam family: Bacterial small subunit ribosomal RNA
Source: RNAcentral
GAUGAACGCUGGCGGCGUGCUUAACACAUGCAAGUCGAACGAUGAAGCCCAGCUUGCUGGGUGGAUUAGUGGCGAACGGGUGAGUAACACGUGAGUAACCUGCCCCCGACUCUGGGAUAAGCCCGGGAAACUGGGUCUAAUACCGGAUAUUACCUCUUGCCGCAUGGCAGGUGGUGGAAAGAUUUAUCGGUGGGGGAUGGACUCGCGGCCUAUCAGCUUGUUGGUGAGGUAAUGGCUCACCAAGGCGACGACGGGUAGCCGGCCUGAGAGGGUGACCGGCCACACUGGGACUGAGACACGGCCCAGACUCCUACGGGAGGCAGCAGUGGGGAAUAUUGCACAAUGGGCGAAAGCCUGAUGCAGCGACGCCGCGUGAGGGAUGACGGCCUUCGGGUUGUAAACCUCUUUCAGUAGGGAAGAAGCGAAAGUGACGGUACCU